Long non-coding RNA from Oxyura jamaicensis (ruddy duck), 1123 nucleotides. RefSeq lists it as uncharacterized. The transcript has 2 exons. Lineage: Eukaryota; Metazoa; Chordata; Aves; Anseriformes; Anatidae. The record is from RefSeq and is a predicted model, not a curated record.
AAAAAACACCCUCUUCUGUCCACCAUUUUAGAGAGAGAAAAGGAAUUUCUCAGCUGCUUUCCUAUCUGACAUCCAAAUGGAAAAGACAAGAGACCAGGCUGUUUCCUCACUGCAUUAGAGGUGAGAGGAAGCAGGAUAGGAAGAGGUCAGGAAGCAGCCAACAAAAGGAGAAAACUGCCCCCAGCCCUUCUCUACACUACUGCUCGCAUGAAAUUCGGGGAGAGAAUGGCAGCCAAGGAGGAGGAGGGAGAAAAGCCACCUUUCCUGCAGGGGCAACAACACUGGCAUACCAAGUGUCUGCCAGGGGGCCCGGGGACCAUCCCCUACACCUUGCCAUCCUCCCUGUCUCAGCAGCCGUGCAGUUCUGCCCGUGCAGCUGGGACAGCCCGAAUGCACGAUGCUGGAAAUCCCAGCGCAACCAGGCGUGGGGCAGCGCCCCAGGGUGAGGAGAGGGACACAGCACCUGGGUAGCACCACCGAGCGGCUAAGUCACAGGGAAGACAAGAUCGGUUUAUGUUGUUUCUAUUUCAGCCUGGGCAGGGCUAGACUACAGCAAGUCUUGACAACACUCCUUGUUCAAACACAAGUCUAUUUGCUUUAAUUAAGGUAAGCUAGGGAAAGAGUUAAAACUGAAAUUGUAGACAGAGAAUGCAUCUAUGCCCCAGUUUCCCUCUGCACUGCUCUCGUAGUACCCCCAACCCUGGAUAUUUAUUCUGUUAAAUACUUUACAUUUAGAGAGAGAAAGGGGUACUGAGAGUCUCGGCCCCAUCUUCCCAUUUGCAGGACUGCUGUAAUGCACUAAGCAAUGUCCCGCGCUAAUAUUUAACCAUGGGAAUUCAGCAGGCAGCCUCCAAACCACUAAUCUGAGCAUAAACCAGCUCUACCUCUGAGCAGCCCCACGAAGGCAGAGCAGGGAUAUUCACCAUCAGUGACCCGGGUACGCUUAUUGAAGUGUUGGCUGGGAAAUGCUUACAGGUCCUUCACGUCGUUGUCUCCUGAAUGGUAGCAAAUCCAUACGUACAAUGAUCGAGAUAGGUGUGCAAUCCGAUUGCUUUUAUUGAGUAAUAGUCUGAUAGCUACAAUGGUGAAUUAGAAGAAAAAAAGAAAAAAAGGAAAAAAAAAA